Molecule: ribosomal RNA, 473 nt
Filed under: uncultured bacterium
Lineage: Bacteria
Description: SSU rRNA
Rfam family: Bacterial small subunit ribosomal RNA
Source: RNAcentral
AGGACGAACGCUGGCGGCGUGCUUAACACAUGCAAGUCGAGCGGAAAGGCCCUUCGGGGUACUCGAGCGGCGAACGGGUGAGUAACACGUGAGCAACCUGCCCUUAGCUUCGGGAUAGCUCCGGGAAACCGGAAUUAAUACCGGAUAUGACUAUGGCCGACAUCAGCCAUGGUGGAAAGUUUUUCGGCUAGGGAUGGACUCGCGGCCUAUCAGCUAGUUGGUGAGGUAACGGCUCACCAAGGCGACGACGGGUAGCCGGCCUGAGAGGGCGACCGGCCACACUGGGACUGAGACACGGCCCAGACUCCUACGGGAGGCAGCAGUGGGGAAUAUUGCGCAAUGGGCGAAAGCCUGACGCAGCGACGCCGCGUGGGGAUGAAUGCCUUCGGGUUGUAAACCCCUUUCAGCAGGGACGAAGCGAAAGUGACGGUACCUGCAGAAGAAGCGCCGGCUAACUACGUGCCAGCAGCCGC